This 536-nucleotide ribosomal RNA is filed under the name uncultured bacterium. Its description in RNAcentral is "partial 16S ribosomal RNA". It matches the Rfam family "Bacterial small subunit ribosomal RNA", at positions 355 to 907 of the family's 1533-position model. The record is from RNAcentral.
UGGGGAAUCUUGCGCAAUGGGCGAAAGCCUGACGCAGCCAUGCCGCGUGAGUGAUGAAGGCCUUAGGGUUGUAAAACUCUUUCACCGGGGACGAUAAUGACGGUACCCGGAGAAGAAGCCCCGGCUAACUUCGUGCCAGCAGCCGCGGUAAUACGAAGGGGGCUAGCGUUGCUCGGAAUUACUGGGCGUAAAGGGCGCGUAGGCGGAUCAGCAAGUUGGGGGUGAAAGCCCGGGGCUCAACCUCGGAAUUGCCUUCAAAACUGCUGAUCUAGAGUACGGGAGAGGUGUGUGGAACUCCGAGUGUAGAGGUGAAAUUCGUAGAUAUUCGGAAGAACACCAGUGGCGAAGGCGACACACUGGCCCGUUACUGACGCUGAGGCGCGAAAGCGUGGGGAGCAAACAGGAUUAGAUACCCUGGUAGUCCACGCUGUAAACGAUGAUUGCUAGUUGUCGGCAGGCAUGCCUGUCGGUGACGCAGCUAACGCAUUAAGCAAUCCGCCUGGGGGAGUACGGUCGCAAGAUUAAAAACUCAAAGG